CUUAAUUAACUCUUUGUCCUCCCUCCAAAAACAAACACGGCGAGAAGAAUGCCAGUCUAAUUUCGAACUGGGCUGAAUUCGAUUCUCGUUUGCGGUUUUAUUUGCAAUACUUACCCUUUAUUAGUAUUAUUACAUGCAUAGAGAUAGACGAACGAGGUGGGUUAAAAGCUUGUAAAAUUGUGGGUAUAAUGAGGGUUGAAUUCAGGUGUAAAUUCUGAAAUUUUCGAAACUUGGGACAGAUUUGGUUUAAAUAUUGAGGCAAUUCACGUCAACCUUCGUAACCACGUAUUUAAACUUAGGAAGAUUAGCUUCCGAACCAAAAAACAUGCCUUACAUCUUCGUAAGGUUUUAUAAGUUCGUAAGCAAAAAUUAGCUUCGAGAUGUUCUUGUCACGUGUUCGUAUUUUUUCGUAAGUUAUGGAGUUACGGAGGUUGUCGUGAAUUGCGUAUUCAUGGGCUCAUGCCUGGUAUGCAUCUUGUAAAUAUCUACAGAAUUUUUGUAUUGAUCAUUCAUAGUUUGAAAUGGUGACGAAUUUUGAAUUAUGGACGAAAGAGGGCUUGAUUUCGAUGAGAACUUUUAAAGAAGUAAAUAUUGUUUUCGCCGAUAAUUCCAAAAUCGUCACCAUUUAAAAGUAUGCAUGUACAUCGCCUUUUAAAAUUACGAGAUGCACACCAAAGAUAAGCCCUUAUCUUGUAAACCGCACUGCCUGAUUUUUUGUGCAGUUGCCAUCUUCAUCUUCAAUAAUAAUGUUUACACGGUUUACCAUUUACACGGUGGAUUAUUUUAGACGGCUUGUUAAAGAGACAGGUUAUACGGAGUGAGAGAAAGAACAAAGGGACGAGAUGAGACGGACGUGUGGUUUUCUAUAGAAAAACAAGGUUGGGACGUGCGGGAAGGAUGCUGCCUUAAUUUUUAUGGUGGCAAAUAAUUCAGAAACAAAAUUACAGACAAUUAUUUGUUACCGGAUUUGUAACGAAAUUCAGGUUGUAAAGAUCUACCUGGGAAUAAAUCGUCGGAUGUGUCCUUAAUUUUUAGGGUCACGUCGUUUUCGCAAAUAAUUCAGUGACAAAAUUGGGAAAAUUAUUUGUUGUCGAAUUUUUGCAGCAAAAUUUCUGCCUGGGAGCAAGUCAUUAUUACCAACAUGGUAAUAUCAUAAUACGCAAUAUGCAGCGUGCUUGGAUUUUGUGACAAUUUUGUUACCAUAUUAAAUACUUGAUUUUGAAACGAGGCACGACUUUCAAAACUAAACUGCGUGAUGAUUUUGAUCAUUUUGUGGUCGACUUGAUAGUGGCAUUGAGAGUGAGUCUUAAGCGUGGAAAAUUGGCAAGUUUGUGCAAAAUGCAUGUAUCAAUUUAUGUACCAUUGAAAUUUGCAAUUGGUCACAAUUUUCCUAUCAUUUUGAAGAGUGUGAAAACGAAAUUAUAUUAGGUAGGUUGCGAGUUAGCGGGAGUUCACGUAAACGCUAACGUAAACGUAAAAUUUGGCGUUAACGUUUACGUUUACGGGGUGCACGAAUUUUGUGUGUGCGAAUUAACGUGCACGUAAACUUAUGCGCUGAAUUUGAAUUUCAUUUCAAUGGUUUGUUCGUGCAAAAUAUUCUUCAUGCAAUAUUUUGCUUAUUGUAAUUAUUUAAUUUAUCUUAUUAUAAACUAGCUUGAAAUGCCAGUGUUUUCAAAACAAAUAAUAAAUUUACUCUCUGAAUUGACCGACUUCGAAAUAGAGGACAUUCUUCCUUCAAAUAAUUAAAAUUAAUCAAUUAAAAGAAUUAAAAAUUUUAAAUUAAACUCAAUGAUGAACGAGUUCUUUUUCCUUAACUUUCACCUUUGCAAAAUAAGUUUGAAACCUAAAUGCGCCCUUAAACUUCGGGGCGCGAUUGCUUGUCGGCGGAAACCCUUUGUGCAUUACUCUAAGGAUUGCAUAUCCCAACAGAUACGUCGACUUGAUGUAACUUUUUCCUCCUACUCAUUGCAGUCACGGAUUUUUCAUCACGGCAGCCAAACUUAGGAUAACUUUUGUGAAGCAAUGCCAGAUCUUGAGCAUUAUUUAUAUUUUCCAUGAAAUUGUGUGUAUAAGAAAAUCUAGAUGCCAUGUACUAAGGCUUUAUUUCUGUAUUGUAUAAACAAUAAAUUUACUUGUUUCUAAUUAA
Molecule: long non-coding RNA, 2146 nt
Organism: Folsomia candida
Lineage: Eukaryota; Metazoa; Arthropoda; Collembola; Entomobryomorpha; Isotomidae
Exons: 4
Source: RefSeq, a predicted model, not a curated record